UACGGGGGGGGCAAGCGUUGUUCGGAAUUACUGGGCGUAAAGGGCUCGUAGGCGGCCAACUAAGUCAUACGUGAAAUCCCUCAGCUUAACUGGGGAACUGCGUGUGAUACUGGAUGGCUUGGAUUUGGGAGAGGGAUGCGGAAUUCCUGGUGUAGCGGUGAAAUGCGCAGAUAUCAGGAGGAACACCGGUGGCGAAGGCGGCUUGCUGGGCCUUACCUGACGCUGAGGAGCGAAAGCGUGGGGAGCGAACAGG
RNAcentral lists this ribosomal RNA (253 nucleotides) under uncultured bacterium. RNAcentral describes it as "partial 16S ribosomal RNA". It matches the Rfam family "Bacterial small subunit ribosomal RNA", at positions 524 to 776 of the family's 1533-position model. The record is from RNAcentral.